AAAUUUAAACAUAGUUUAAUUAAAAAGAGUUUUUAAUAGUCUUUAUGUUUUAAAAAUAUAAAUUAUAAGAAAUAGAAGAAUUUUUUAGUUUUUCCAAAUUAUGGAAAAAGUUAUUAAUUAUAAAUUUGGCGUUGCUUGUGCCAGCCGCCGCGGUUAUACAAGCAAAUUAAUUUUUUUAAUUUUAUAAGGAUAAAAAAAAUUAAAAGGUAUUAGUUUUAAUAGGUGAAAUUAAAAAACUAAGAGAAUUAA
RNAcentral lists this ribosomal RNA (249 nucleotides) under Ixodes cordifer. RNAcentral's name for it is "partial small rRNA subunit". Lineage: Eukaryota; Metazoa; Arthropoda; Arachnida; Ixodida; Ixodidae. The record is from RNAcentral.